This is a long non-coding RNA of Amblyraja radiata (thorny skate), 134 nucleotides long. RefSeq lists it as uncharacterized. The transcript is spliced from 4 exons. NCBI's taxonomy places the organism in Eukaryota, Metazoa, Chordata, Chondrichthyes, Rajiformes, Rajidae. The record is from RefSeq and is a predicted model, not a curated record.
GGGCAGUCAGCAGCAUAACACGACAAGACACAACAAGAAAGAACUUAACUGAAUAACUCUCAUCUUUAUUGUUUAAAUUGUUGUUAUAUUUUAAGGGUUGUUCACAUUUUAAGCUUUAAUAAAUCACUUUUCCA